RNAcentral lists this ribosomal RNA (254 nucleotides) under uncultured bacterium. Its description in RNAcentral is "partial 16S ribosomal RNA". It matches the Rfam family "Bacterial small subunit ribosomal RNA", at positions 524 to 776 of the family's 1533-position model. The record is from RNAcentral.
UACGUAGGGUGCGAGCGUUGUCCGGAAUUAUUGGGCGUAAACGGCUCGUAGGCGGUCUGUCGCGUCGAUCGUGAAAACUUGGGGCUUAACCCUGAGCUUGCGGUCGAUACGGGCAUGACUGGAGUUCGGCAGGGGAGACUGGAAUUCCUGGUGUAGCGGUGAAAUGCGCAGAUAUCAGGAGGAACACCGGUGGCGAAGGCGGGUCUCUGGGCCGAUACUGACGCUGAGGAGCGAAAGCGUGGGGAGCGAACAGG